UAUGUGAUCGUCUCUCGCAUAUCAAUAAGCGGAGGAAAAGAAACUAACAAGGAUUCCCCUAGUAACGGCGAGUGAAGCGGGAAGAGCUCAAAUUUGAAAUCUUGAAGGGUUUCCCUUUACGAAUUGUAGUUUAAAGAAGUGUUUUCUGUUGAGGUUUUGGUAAAAGUUCUUUGGAAUAGGACAUCAUAGAGGGUGAGAAUCCCGUAUUUGACCUUUACUUUCAACUUUGUGAUACACUUUCAAAGAGUCGGAUUGUUUGGGAAUGCAGUCCAAAAUGGGUGGUAAAUUUCAUCUAAAGCUAAAUAUUGGCGAGAGACCGAUAGCGAACAAGUACCGUGAGGGAAAGAUGAAAAGAACUUUGAAAAGAGAGUUAAACAGUACGUGAAAUUGUCAAAAGGGAAGCGUUUGACACCAGUGUCGUUUUUCUGAAAAUCAAUUAAAGAACUGUUUAGGCUAAGUUGUUUAGACUUUAUCAGCUAACUGUUUAGUUUUGAGCUUUUCUUUAAUGCACUUUUCAGUUAACAAGUCAACAUCAAUUUCUUUUGCUGUAAAAAAGCUUGAGGAAGGUGGCUUGAGAUUCGUCUUAAGUGUUUAUAGCCUCUUGCCUAUGCAGUCGGAGAGAUUGGGGUCUGCAGCGUAGAUCCUUCGGGGCUAAAUGCAUUUGUGCUAAGUUAUAGCAUUUUAUAGACAACUUGUUGACUAUGAUUUGUCUUGUAGCUUACUCGCUUAUGUUAUUUUACCUACGCUUAGGAUGUUGAAGUCAUCGUAUCGCGC
This 774-nucleotide ribosomal RNA is filed under the name uncultured Neocallimastigales. RNAcentral's name for it is "partial large subunit ribosomal RNA". It matches the Rfam family "Eukaryotic large subunit ribosomal RNA", at positions 24 to 645 of the family's 3401-position model. Lineage: Eukaryota; Fungi; Neocallimastigomycota; Neocallimastigomycetes; Neocallimastigales. The record is from RNAcentral.